AUGGUUCGUGGGCUCGGAGCUGUUUUAAGAAAAAGUGAUGGCAUCUACACCAUAAAUCUGAAGAGAGCCUGGGAGAAGCUUCUGCUGACAGCUCGUGCCAUUGUUGCCAUUGAAAUCCCAGGUGGUGAGAGUGUCAUAUAUUCCAGGA
This is a long non-coding RNA of Prionailurus viverrinus (fishing cat), 148 nucleotides long. RefSeq lists it as uncharacterized. The record is from RefSeq and is a predicted model, not a curated record. Lineage: Eukaryota; Metazoa; Chordata; Mammalia; Carnivora; Felidae. The transcript is spliced from 4 exons.